GCCUUCGUGGUGUAGCGUUCAGCACACUCGGCCCGUAUUAGAGAGGUCAGAGGUUCAAGUCCCGGCGAGGGCA
Molecule: transfer RNA, 73 nt
Filed under: Stegodyphus mimosarum
Lineage: Eukaryota; Metazoa; Arthropoda; Arachnida; Araneae; Eresidae
Rfam family: tRNA
About the family: Transfer RNA (tRNA) molecules are approximately 80 nucleotides in length. Their secondary structure includes four short double-helical elements and three loops (D, anti-codon, and T loops).
Source: Rfam by way of RNAcentral